AAAACAAAACAAACCAAAAAUUUUAGGUUGGACUGCCUAUCUUAGAAAGUCCUAUUGGUAUUGCCUUUCUGGGAUCUAUUCUAAAGAAAGAGACAUGUGGCUGGUCAGAUGCACUUUAUGGGCUUUUUUUAAAUGGGCUUUUAAAUUAAUAAUAUGUGAGGUUGUUUUUGUUGUUAAGAAGUACAAUUAUUUGGAGUUCCCAUCAUGGCUCAGUGGUUAACGAAUCCAACUAGGAACCAUGAGGUUGCGGGUUCGAUCCCUGGCCUCGCUCAGUGGGUUAAGGAUCUGGCAUUGCCGUGAGCUGUGGUGUAGGUCACAGACGCAGCUUGGAUCUCGAGUUGCUGUGGCUCUGGUGUAGGCUGGUGGUGACAGCUCUGAUUAGACCCCUAGCCUGGGAACCUCCAUAUGCCGUGGGAGCGGCCCUAGCAAAGACAAAAAAAAGAAAAAAAAGACCAAAAAAAAAAAAAAAAAAAGGCGUGCAAUUAUUUAAAAUAAAAAUGAGUCCACAGGAGUAGCACUAAAUCUUAUCUGGUGGUUUCCUGGGUUUUUUGUUUUUAUUUUUUGUUUUGCCGUUGAACACUCGGCAACACAUUCAUUUUGAUUCUGAGGGCAGUAUGAAAAGAGUCUUUUCCUCAAGACCUCCUGGCUUUAUCACUUAGCUCUCUCCACAGGCAUGCCAUCUGCCUGGAGGAGUAUACACCUGCAGCCCAGUUCAGACUGGCAAAGUCCCCCGGAGAUGAACUCAUUCAACCAACCACGGACCUCCGUGUCGCUCUCCACUUAAAAACUAAAGGGGCCUGCUCAGGGUCACAGGGCUGGUCAAAGGCAGAACCAGACCCGAUGUCUGCAUUCAAGUUCUUUCUCUUCCACACCAAGACUGUCUCAGCUUCCUGAGCUCCAGAGGAUGGUGUCACAGUGACUUUGGAGCGACAAGACACAAAUGUCACUUCCUUUCCUCGAAGACCCCAAAAGAUCUGUCACCUCUCCCGCUUUGACAGCCUGCAGAUAUGGAGACGGGCAAUUGCUCAAAGAUGUCAGUGUGGUGACCACAGAUUUGUACCUGAUGGAUCUAAGAGGCUCUGCUUUGGGGUUUCCAGUUCUCUUCCGCAAGAGACCCGGCGUUGUGGGCUUGAAGGAAUUUGGGACAACAUCAUCAGUGGCAAUGACUUCAAGAGCCCUAUUCAACAUAAGAAACGUUGAAAGGACUGGGGCUGAGUAAGGUAGCAGACUUUUGCAAUGCAAAGGACCAUAGGAAAAAAAAAAAUGGGCAAAUCCUUUGCUUGUGCAGCCACAGAGAUCAAGGCUUUCAGGGACUGGGACACACCCCGGCCGGUCCCUGGCAGAGCAGGUCCCCAAACCCGGGUUCCCUCGCCUGGCUCCGUGCCUGGUCCAUCUUACCAGCUGCCUCU
RNAcentral lists this long non-coding RNA (1409 nucleotides) under Sus scrofa (pig). RNAcentral's name for it is "lncRNA (ENSSSCG00030002314.1)". Lineage: Eukaryota; Metazoa; Chordata; Mammalia; Artiodactyla; Suidae. The record is from RNAcentral.